RNAcentral lists this ribosomal RNA (274 nucleotides) under uncultured bacterium. RNAcentral describes it as "partial 16S ribosomal RNA". It matches the Rfam family "Bacterial small subunit ribosomal RNA", at positions 523 to 796 of the family's 1533-position model. The record is from RNAcentral.
AUACGGAGGGGGUUAGCGUUGUUCGGAAUUACUGGGCGUAAAGCGCACGUAGGCGGACUGGAAAGUUGGGGGUGAAAUCCCGGGGCUCAACCCCGGAACUGCCUCCAAAACUUCCAAUCUAGAGAUCGAGAGAGGUGAGUGGAAUUCCAAGUGUAGAGGUGAAAUUCGUAGAUAUUUGGAGGAACACCAGUGGCGGAGGCGGCUCACUGGCUCGAUACUGACGCUGAGGUGCGAAAGCGUGGGGAGCAAACAGGAUUAGAAACCCUAGUAGUCC